Molecule: long non-coding RNA, 506 nt
Organism: Hemicordylus capensis (graceful crag lizard)
Lineage: Eukaryota; Metazoa; Chordata; Lepidosauria; Squamata; Cordylidae
Exons: 4
Source: RefSeq, a predicted model, not a curated record
UCAAAACGGGCCAGUUCGAAUUGAACAUGGUUCACUUCAAACUGGUUCUGCACACCCCUACAGGAAGGCAGAAGUGGUUCUGAGUUGUGGUUUGGAAGCCAUGAUAGGGUGGAUGCCCACAAGCUGAAACGUAAUCCUGCCAAGGUGAAGGUGAUGAUGGUUAGUAGAAGACCUGUUCAAGAAGUGUUUUGAAAAGAGAAGCCUUCCUCGCUGCUGUUUUCUCAUCUCCUGCUGAGUCUGCCUCACUUCAGAAGUCUGCCCCCUCCCAAUCUGGUAGUAAGGAAGUAACUAUUUCCACAAAAACUUGGAAAAUAUUUGAUUCAACAACAGUCAAUGGAGAGAUAUCAAAGUGAUAUGGAGAAUUUUCUGGCUAGUUCCAGCCCCUGGAUCCUGCAGACUAGAGGACCACUCAGAUGAUGCAAGCCAUGCAGAGUUGGCAGUGUGCUUCAAAAAGAAAAAAGAAGGAAGGAAGGAAAAGCAGCUGCUUCGAAAAUUAAAAAUAAACA